This 468-nucleotide ribosomal RNA is filed under the name uncultured bacterium. RNAcentral's name for it is "partial 16S ribosomal RNA". It matches the Rfam family "Bacterial small subunit ribosomal RNA", at positions 28 to 507 of the family's 1533-position model. The record is from RNAcentral.
GACGAACGCUGGCGGCGUGCUUAACACAUGCAAGUCGAACGGAAAGGCCCUUCUUUUUUCUGGUGCUCCGAUGGCGAACGUGUGAGUUACACGUGCUUCACUUCCCCUUGACUUUGGGCUAACUUCAUGAGACUGGUGCUGAUUCCGGAUACGCGCUCCUUCUGCAUUGGUGGGGUUCUUUUGCUUCGGCGGUUGGGGAUGGGCUCGCGGCUUAUCAGCUUGUUGGUGGGGUAUUGGCUUACCAAGGCUGUGACGGGUAGCCGGCCUGAGAGGGUGACCGGCCACAUUGGGACUGAGAUACGGCCCAGACUCCUACGGGAGGCAGCAGUGGGGAAUAUUGCACAAUGGGCGGAAGCCUGAUGCAGCAACGCCGCGUGAGGGAUGACGGCCUUCGGGUUGUAAACCGCUUUCGACAGGGACGAAGCGUGAGUGACGGUAAUGAGAGAAGAAGCACCGGCUAACUACGUG